This 468-nucleotide ribosomal RNA is filed under the name uncultured bacterium. Its description in RNAcentral is "partial 16S ribosomal RNA". It matches the Rfam family "Bacterial small subunit ribosomal RNA", at positions 28 to 507 of the family's 1533-position model. The record is from RNAcentral.
GACGAACGCUGGCGGCGUGCUUAACACAUGCAAGUCGAACGGAAAGGCCCUGCUUUCGUGGGGUGCUCGAGUGGCGAACGGGAGAGUAACCCGUGAGUAACCUGCCCUGGACUUUGGGAUAACUUCAGGAAACCGGGGCUAAUACCUGCUAGGAGCUCCUGCUGCAUGGUGGGGGUUGGAAAGUUUCGGCGGUUGGGGAUGGACUCGCGGGUUAUCAGCUUGUUGGUGGGGUAGUGGCUUACCAAGGCUUUGACGGGUAGCCGGCCUGAGAGGGUGACCGGCCACAUUGGGACUGAGGUACGGCCCAGAGUCCUACGGGAGGCAGCAGGGGGGAAUAUUGCACAAUGAGCGGAAGCGUGAUGCAGCAGCGCCGCGUUCGGGAUGACGGCCUUCGGGUUGUAAACCGCUUUCGCCUGUGACGAAGCGUGAGUGACGGUAAUGGGUAAAGAAGCACCGGCUAACUACGUG